RNAcentral lists this transfer RNA (68 nucleotides) under Anadara kagoshimensis. RNAcentral's name for it is "tRNA-Phe". The record is from RNAcentral. Lineage: Eukaryota; Metazoa; Mollusca; Bivalvia; Arcoida; Arcidae.
AUUUCAUGCGUUCACAUAAGAACAUAGCUUUGAAGCAGCUAAACUCGAUUCUAGUGUUCGCUGAAAUA